RNAcentral lists this unclassified non-coding RNA (351 nucleotides) under Hevea brasiliensis (rubber tree). The record is from RNAcentral. Lineage: Eukaryota; Viridiplantae; Streptophyta; Magnoliopsida; Malpighiales; Euphorbiaceae.
CAAGACUACUAGAGCUAGAGAGUUGACAGUGAAGAUCAAUGCAGCCAGAAAGAGAGACCAAGAGCUGAGGACUAGAGUUCUUGAGCUUCAAAACCAGAUUAACAAGCUUUAUGAGGAGAUUGGUACUUUAAAGCAGGAGGCUUAUUCUAAUAAGAAUUUGGCAGAUACCAUUGCUCAAGAGUGGCAUGCGAAUUCAAGGGACUUUCAGACUUUAGCAACAUCAAUAGAAGCUGAACGCACAAUGGCACAACAAUGGUCUCAUCAGCGCCAACAAGCAAGUCAACUACUCCAAGCUUUUUCCAACCAAUGGGAUGCAUUGCGCUCCCUUCAAUUGUAGUACAUUUCUUUCAC